This 3853-nucleotide small RNA is filed under the name Pan troglodytes (chimpanzee). RNAcentral's name for it is "retained intron". Lineage: Eukaryota; Metazoa; Chordata; Mammalia; Primates; Hominidae. The record is from RNAcentral.
CACACUACGGAGUCGAUGGUUCAGUUUCAUGAACCCUUGGACCAAGGAAGUAGAAUAUAUUGUCUCAACUAACACUGUUGUUUUAGCCAACGUCCUGGAAGGCGGGGACCCAACCUUCCCACAGCUCACAGCAUCCCCCCACAGCAUGGACAGCAUGCUGCCCUCUGGAGAAGGUGGCCCAAAGAGGACCCAUCCCACUGUUCCAGGGAUUCCAGGGGGAACCCGGGCUGGGGCAGGAAAAAUAGGCCGAAUGAUUGCUGAGGAAAUCAUGGAAAUCCACAGGCAAGUAACACCUUCUAGUUCCUCUGUUAAACCAGUGGUUCUCAACCCAGGGAAAUUUUUUCCCCCAGGCAAUAUUUUGCAAUGUCAGGAGACAUUUUUGGUCUUCACAACUGGGUGGGAGGUUGCUACUUAAACAUCCUGUGGAUAGAGACCAGGGAUGCUGCUUGUUAAACAUCCUACAGUAAACAGGACAGUUCCCCCCUCCCCACCCAACAAAGAAUUAUCCAAUCCAAAAUGUCAGUAGUGCCUAGAUUAAGAAAUCCUGCCUUAAAUAAAGAAGCUAAACCAAAAUAGCCCAGAGCUAAAGAGAAUUCUUGAGAAGACUUAACUUUCUUAUGGCUCAAGGAGCUUCUCAGUGCGGAUAGAUGUACCUUUACUUUACAGGAAUGCAGGAGUAGAGCUGUGAACUAUCAGAGUGAUCUGGACCUUAACAAAACAUUCACUUUUUUUCAAUCAAAGAGCUGCCCAGGAUUAGUACUAGAAACCAGGUAGAUCAGCUAGUUAUUACUAGCUGUCUUGGGAGAGACUUCCUUUCCAUAUGAAAGAGGAGCUUAGAAGCAGUCCACCUGGGUCUGAGUCCUGGGCCUCUCUACCUGGCUAUGCUGAGACUUACUUAACCUCUUGCUCUCUGUUGAUUUAAACCAUAAAAAGAAAGCACUAUUUCCCAAGAAUUGUGUUACGAUUGUGAGGGCACUCAGGAAAGUUCCAGGAACACAGCCUGACAUAUAGUGAGUGCUUAAAAAUUAAUUAAAUCUGUCUUUAAGAGCAGUCGAGAGGGAAGCAGUUAUCAUAAGUCUGUCCAAAUUUGGGGAAUAGAGAAGGUGGUAACCAGAUUCUUCAGAACGAAACUUAAUGUAACAUAAGAAAAGGAAGAAAACACUGCUGCCACUGGAUUCUCUCAGGAGAAUUAGAGGCUGGCCUGUUUUCCAAUUGGCCAUAAAGGGGCUAUUAUCCCCCUAUAGGUAACACAGCUCUUUUCCAACCCCACAGGAUUAGUGGGUGUGACUUCUGCAUCAGGAAGGAGACAUGAGGGUAGUGUGCAGUGUAAUCAGGUUCAAACCCUAUACUUUGCAUUUGCAUACCCUGUAUUUUGCUUGAGACCAUCCAAGAACAGUAUCAAACAGUCCUUGACCUCAAGAAUUUUAAAAUCUUUUAUAAGUCUAUUUUCUUUAUGAUAACAGGAAAAAGGGAGGGUGCAUGGGCCAAAGCAAGCAAAGGAGGAAAGAUUUGAACUUGGCCUUAGCCAGGGUUUGCAAUGAGAGUGGAUGUUCCCUCUAGAAAAGCCAGGGCUAUUCUUGAGUGGGCAUGUGAGUGGCAAAUUCAGGGUCAAGAAACAAGCUACCUAACUGGGCAGGCUUUGUGUAGGAAGGAGACACAGAGCUAUGAUAGGCGAGUAGGAAACACAAGAAAUGAUAUUGUGCAGUUUGGAAGAAACCUGUAAGACCCCAUUUGUUGUAGGAUGCUGAACAAGCAUCCAAAGUCUUGUGUUACGCUUUGUGGAAGUUGCAUUGGAAUAGGGAGAGAUGAAGGUGGGCAUGUUUGACAGCUCAGGAAUGAGGCCUUAACCUACAGAGAUGACACUGCCAAAAGAGAAAUCAAUCAUCUAAGGUCUAGCGUUUGAAGAUGAAAUCAGGAAUGAUGAAACAUCAAUUCCAAGAUGAGAAACCUGGGAAAAUAGUGGUUUCAUAGACAUAAGUAGAGAAAGGUGGGGGACACUCAGCAAUUUUUCCGUAAGCAAUUAGCAGCCGUUUGUGCAUGCUGAGAAUACAUGAUAUGUAGUUGUAAACUGCCGUUAAGAAGCUUAUAAUCCAGAAAGAAAACUUGUUCACUCACAAAUCUAGAGAACUAGGCAGUACAAGAACCAAAAGACUUCUGGGUGGUGGAGGAGUGGUCUCUGGGUCACCCAAAAGCUACAUUCAUCCAUGUAGGAGCUGAGAGUCCUGUGGUUACACAACUGCCAUCACACUCUCCCUAAACUGUAGCUGCAAUGCCAAGUGAUGGAUUCUUUCCUGAGGUCCUUCAGCCUGACAAGUAUUUAGGUGGAUUUACAGUUCUAAGUCUUCCCUUCUAUAAAUCUUCUGAGAGAGAUGCUAGAUAAGAAAGGCCUGGACCCAUUUUUCAUCAACCACUGCCUUCGAAGGCUGCUUUUACUGUCACUACUACUAGGCUACCUUUUAGACCCUGGUGCCCUCCAUGUCCUAAGAGUAUUCACUAGCUAAACAGUGUUUGUGGAGAAGGGGACAAAUUGUUUUCUGUGGAUCAAAGAUGGAGGUUGAUCUUAGAAGUUCUCCUCCAAUUCACCUGGAUUCUGUGAGGAAAUAAAACUGGCCACUUACUUGAAAUUCACCAACUGAAUGCAAACUCCAAUCCAAGGGCGUUGUCAGUGAGAUGCUUGACUCUAGGGACUGCAUUCUAGAUCAGGUGCCUGUAGAACAAAUCCAGCUUGUCAUCUGUUUUUGUAAAUAAAGUUUUAUUGGAACACAGCCACACCGAUUCGUAUCUGUGGCUGCUUUCAAGCUGCAGAGGCAGAGUUGAGCAUUUGUGACAGACACCAUAUGGCCUAGAGAGCCUACUAUCUGGCCCUUACAGAAAAAGCUUGCCAAACCCUAAUCUAGAUCUUCAUCCCCUUUCUCACCUUUACCCCUUAACAAAGCACAUACACUCCACUGAAAAAAGAAAAGGCAGUGUAAUUCUCUUUUCUGACAGGAUAAGAGGGUCAUCGCCUUCUAGCUGUGGCUCCAGCCCAUUGAACAUCACGAGUACGCCUCCCCCUGAUGCCUCUUCUCCAGGAGGCAAGAAGAUUUUAAAUGGAGGGACUCCAGACAUUCCUUCCAGUGGCCUACUAUCAGGCCAGGCUCAGGAGAACCCAGGUUAUCCAUAUUCUGAUAGUUCUUCUAUUCUUGGUGAGAACCCCCACAUAGGUAUAGACAUGAUUGACAACGACCAAGGAUCAAGUAGUCCCAGUAAUGAUGAGGCAGCAAUGGCUGUCAUCAUGAGCCUCUUGGAAGCAGAUGCUGGACUGGGUGGCCCUGUUGACUUUAGUGACUUGCCAUGGCCGCUGUAAACACUACAUGUUGCUUUGGCAACAGCUAUAGUAUCAAAGUGCAUUACUGGUGGAGUUUUACAGUCUGUGAAGCUUACUGGAUAAGGAGAGAAUAGCUUUUAUGUACUGACUUCAUAAAAGCCAUCUCAGAGCCAUUGAUACAAGUCAAUCUUACUAUAUGUAACUUCAGACAAAGUGGAACUAAGCCUGCUCCAGUGUUUCCUCAUCAUUGAUUAUUGGGCUAGCUGUGGAUAGCUUGCAUUAAUUGUAUAUUUUGGAUUCUGUUUGUGUUGAAUUUUUUAAUCAUUGUGCACAGAAGCAUCAUUGGUAGCUUUUAUAUGCAAAUGGUCAUUUCAGAUGUAUGGUGUUUUUACACUACAAAGAAGUCCCCCAUGUGGAUAUUUCUUAUACUAAUUGUAUCAUAAAGCCGUUUAUUCUUCCUUGUAAGAAUCCUUUACUAUAAAUAUGGGUUAAAGUAUAAUGUACUAGACAGUUAAAUAUUUUUAAUAAAUGUUUCCCUUGUUCUAU